Mytilus trossulus (common blue mussel) is the source of this 835-nucleotide long non-coding RNA. RefSeq lists it as uncharacterized. The record is from RefSeq and is a predicted model, not a curated record. The transcript has 3 exons. Lineage: Eukaryota; Metazoa; Mollusca; Bivalvia; Mytilida; Mytilidae.
AAUAUGUUUGUCAGUACCUGGAUAACCCGAAUAAUCCAGUCGUUAUUUAACGAUCACUUCGAUCACUCCAUUAACCAUUUCCUCGAGAAAAGUAUUGGAUAGGGGGCGCUGAAUUAUUCGAGUUAUUACAUGGAGAAAAGGUCUAUUUCAAAUGUUAUUCAAAGAUUAGAAGCGACGAUUCAAUUUCCAUUUGUGUAUUGUAUCUGUCGUGGUUGAAACGGCACCAGGAACAUAUCAGGAUAGACAACAGAAGUCUGGUGAGAAAAAUGUUAUGAAACACCAGCAAAAAAGACUAGAUUUUUAUUCAGUCCCGACUUAUACAGUGUUUCUGAAGAUUGAGAUUAGAUCAGGCCUAUCCAGAAGCCAGAAAAAGGACAAUUCAUGGCACGUACAUCUACAGAGAGAGACAUGUUUAAAAAAACAGAUUUAUUUUCAAUUUAAGAAAAACCUGUUGAACUAUUACUAUUUCUAAUCUGUUUAUUUACAUUUAUAUGUUGAUAUUUUGUUUUUUAAAAUUGCUGCACAGUAUUUCUAUUCAGUCCCACAUAAAAAAAUCAGCUGAAGAAAUUGAUAUUUUCAUAUUUCAAGGGAGUGUCCUUUUGCAUUGUUGAUAGCAGAUAUAUGUAUUGUAUUGUAUUGUCAGAUCGCAACUUCAAAUAAUAUAAAAUACUUUUUUUAUGAAUGUUAUAUGUCUUUGAAUAGACAUGAAAGAUAGAAAAUUAUAUAGGAACACAAUUUUCUAUGACCUAAAUGUAUUGCCAUGGUAAAUUUAUUAUGUGAACAUAUCAAAUAUUAUCAAAAACGUCGCUGGUUUAAUUUAAAAUAAAAUUAUUCU